UCACCCCACAAAGGAAGACUCUUUCAGUUUAUCACAAAUAUUAGCAUUAAAUCAUCAUUUUGAGGGUACAUGGUUUUCACUGGGCAGGAAGGGUUUGAAAUAUGUAACCAGCAACGUACAGUAGUUGAGUAGAAAGUGCAGUAUUUGCCUCUGAGAUACAGCAAAGCAGACAAAAUUGAAGUUGCAUGAAAUCCUCAAAUGUCUACGUUAGCACUUGAGUAAAUAUACAUUUCACCACUGGGUAAGAGCUUUAUACUGUGUUUUGUGUGUGUUUGUUUUCAGAAUGAGACAGGGAUGGGCUGUGAGAACUCUGAAAUUAUCCAGCCAGGUUUGUAUGAUGUUGUUCCACCAGAUCACGAGACUCCAGCAUCAUCCACUCUUCUAGUAAGAUGUCAGCACACUGUACUUCUUGAAGAUGACCCAGCACUCUGGCCAAAACAGCUGUCUGAUAGUGCACGCUGCUCAAUAGUGCAGAGAGGACCACUUCAGGUGAAGGACAGGAUCUUCCCAAGAAAUGAAGAUGGGCGCAGAUUUACUAGCAGCAAUUACUACAUGCAAAUGAAAAAUGGAGAACAGAUAUGCAGAUCAUGGCUUGUCUACAGUGAAAAGAAGGACCGUGUUAUUUGUUUUUGCUGCCGCCUGUUUGGAAACAGAGAAAGGAGCAAUCAGCUGAGUGAGGAUGGGUUUAAUGAUUGGAAAAAUCUUUCAGCCCACCUGAGACAGCAUGAAAAGUCAGCUGAGCACAUUGCAAAUAUGGAUGCUUGGCGCAACCUAUCGCAGAAACUCCAGACACACACGGCUAUAGAUCAGGUGAACCAAAAUCUUCUUUCUCUUGAAGUAAAUCGCAGGAAAGAGGUACUGACAAGAUUGAUUGCAAUCGUUAACCAUCUGGCAGAGCGCAAUCUAGCAUUUCGUGGCCACUCUGACAGGCUGUUUGAGCCUGGAAAUGGAAAUUUCCUUGGGCAAGUUCAACUCAUGGCUCAGUUUGACCCAAUUAUGAGAGAGCAUCUGAGAAGUCAGGCCAAAGAGCUAAGUGACAAUUACUUGAGCAAACACAUUCAAAAUGAACUCAUCUCCCUUGUAGCAAAGUGCACAAUCAAUGCAAUUGUGGAGAAAGUAAAGAAAGCUAAAUAUUAUGCUGUUAUCAUGGACUGCACUCCAGACCUCAGUCACAAUGAGCAGCUUUCAGUGGUACUACGGAUUGUGAAUUGUGAAACCUCAAAAGGUAUCUCCAUUCAUGAGCACUUUGUUGGUUUUCUUCAGGCACUUGACACAACAGGAAAAGGGUUAUGUGAGUCAUUUUUAGGGCACCUAGAAACACUAGGUUUGGACCUCUCCAACUGCCGUGGCCAGUCUUACGACAACGGCAGUAACAUGCAGGGUAAAAAGCAGGGGGUCCAAAAGAGAGUGUUAGAACUAAACAGCAAGGCUUUGUGUGUUCCCUGUGGAAGCCACACUUUGAACCUUGUUGUUGGGGAUGCUGCCAAGUCAUCUGUGACAUCCAUCAGCUUCUUUGGUCUGCUACAGUGACUCUACACUCUGUUCAGCUCCUCAGUUCACCGCUGGUCCAUUCUCACAGAGCAUGUCAAGAAUUUCACACUGAAGGCAUUGUCAACAACCAGAUGGGAGUCCAGGGUUGAAGCUAUCAAAGCUGUUCGCUACCAGCUUCCUGAAAUUGUGGAGGCAUUGACUGCUCUAAAGGAAUAUGCCAUGGAGAAAAGGGAUGCAGAAGUUGUUUCAGCAGCUGGAAGCAUCUGCAAGGAGAUGCAGAGGUGGCCUUUUGUGGUAAGUACCAUUGUAUGGUACAAUGUGUUGUUCCAGAUAAAUAAAGCCAGCAAGACCCUGCAGAGCCAGAAGGUUUGUAUUGAAACAGUCAGGAAAGAAAUCGGGGCAGUGACAGAAUUCCUUCAGGAAUUUCGGGAUGAUGGGUUCAACACUGCCAAAACAGAGGCCAGGGAAAUAGCAGAGAAGCUUGGGGUAGAGAUGAGCUGGCCAGAGGUGCAUCAGAGAAGAACAACCCAACAGUUUGAGUAUGAAGGCAAAGAGCAAACUCAGUCAACUGCAGAAGAGAUCUACAAAAGAGAAUUUUUCUUGUCUCUUAUUGAUAAAGCUCUUAUUACUUUAAAGGAAAGAUUUUCACACAUGGAAACCUUCUAUGAGCUGUAUGGAUUUCUCUACUCCACUGACGUCAUGAGAAGCACUGAGAAGGAAGGGAAGCUGGAUGAAUGCUGCCACAGACUGGAGCAGAGAUUUGAUGAUGUUGAUGCAGAGGACCUGAAACUUGAGGUAAAGGGAGCAGUUAGAUCCUUCCCCACAAAUAUCUCAACACCAUCUGAGAUGCUUGAUUAUAUCUAUAAGGAGAAUAUCUUAGACCUAUAUCCAAAUAUGAGUAUAGCACUGAGACUUCUGCUCAUUCUCCCUGUGACAGUGGCCUCAGGUGAGAGAAGUUUCUCGAAACUGAAGUUCAUUAAAACAUAUCUGAGGUCAACAAUGUCACAGGAGAGGCUGUCUGCACUCGCUGUUCUCUCCAUCGAGCAAGAAGUCAGGAAGUCAGUGGAUAUGGAUCUCCUCAUUGCAAGAUAUGCUGAGGCCAAGGCUCGCAAAAUGAGAUUUUAGGGCCAAAAGGGAGAAAAUACAAAGACUACGAGAAAAAGGGACAAAAGAAAACAUGGAGAGGGAGACAACAAGACUACAGAAAAAGACAGGAAGAGAAAAAGAAAAAAGAGAGAGGAAUGUGAGUUAAAGGGACAGGAAGAGAAAAAAGACAAGGACAAAAAGGAGAGAAAUCAAAGACUACAGAAAAAGACAAGAAGAGAAAAAGAAAAAAGAGAGAGGAAUGUGAGUUAAAGGGACAGGAAGAGAAAAAAGACAAGGACAAGGAGAGAAAUCAAAGACUACAGAAAAAGACAGGAAGAGAAAAAGAAGAAGAAAGAAAAAAGGGAGAGAAAGACAACCAGUAAAAGGGACAGAAGAAAUCAAUGGAGAUGAAGACAACAAGAAAAAGGGACAGGAAAAUGUGUAAAAGGAACAGGAAGAGGAAAAAAGACAAGGACAAAAAGGAGAGAAUUUAAAGACUACAGAAAAAGACAGGAAGAGAAAAAGAAGAAGAAAGAAAAAAGGGAAAGGAAGACAACCAGUAAAAGGAACAGGAAGAGAAAAAGGAAAAAGGGAGAGGAAUAUGAGUAAAAGGGACAGAAGAAGAAAAAAGACAAGGACAAAAAGAAGAGAAAUCAAAGACUACAGAAAAAGACAGGAAGAGAAAAAGAAGAAGAAAGAAAAAAGGGAGAGGAAGACAACCAGCAAAAGGGACAGAAGAAAACAAUGGAGAUGAAGACAACAAGAAAAAGGGACAGGAAGAUGUGUAAAAGGGACAGGAAGAGAAAAAGAAAAAGAGAGGAAUAUGAGUAAAAGGGACAGAAGAAGAAAAAAGACAAGGACAAAAGGGAGAGAAAUACAAAGACUACAGAAAAAGACAAGAAGAGAAAAAGAAAAAAGAGAGAGGAAUGUGAGUUAAAGGGACAGGAAGAGAAAAAAGACAAGGACAAAAAGGAGAGAAAUCAAAGACUACAGAAAAAGACAAGAAGAGAAAAAGAAAAAAGAGAGAGGAAUGUGAGUUAAAGGGACAGGAAGAGAAAAAAGACAAGGACAAGGAGAGAAAUCAAAGACUACAGAAAAAGACAGGAAGAGAAAAAGAAGAAGAAAGAAAAAAGGGAGAGGAAGACAACCAGCAAAAGGGACAGAAGAAAACAAUGGAGAUGAAGACAACAAGAAAAAGGGACAGGAAGAUGUGUAAAAGGGACAGGAAGAGAAAAAGAAAAAGAGAGGAAUAUGAGUAAAAGGGACAGAAGAAGAAAAAAGACAAGGACAAAAGGGAGAGAAAUACAAAGACUACGAGAAAAAGACAGGAAGAGAAAAAGAAAAAAGAGAGAUGAAUAUGAGUAAAAGGGACAGGAAGAGGUAAAAACAAAUAAUACAUGUGUAUUCUGUUAAAAUGUAUGUAUCUGUAUAAUUGACCUGUUGUUUUGUGUGUUGUCUUCUCAUUUCAGCACCACAACAUAGAGGACAGCAGCUGCUGCUGCCCAAAUUUGAGCUAUGUAAAGAGGGCCCCAUGCCUGCCUUUGCCUUGGGCCCCAAAUUUCCUAAAUCCGCCACUGCCUUUGGGGGAUAUUUUUCUGGUGGCAUACUGGUGGAAGUGGAGCAGUGUGGAUCAGUGGGGAUGAAUGAAGAAUAUAUUGGGUGGUAACGCGUUACGUGACAUUGUAAAUGAAAUAAUACAACCGGUAAUCCUGUUGGUAACGUGUUGAUUAAAAUCUAAUAGCAAGCAGGACUGGCUGAUGAUUCAACUUUUAUCAUUGACAGUUCCUCUAAAUGACUGUGACGUGACAGAAAUUAUUUUUGCAACAGCAACAUACACCGGUUGCCAGUUUUCAAGACUAAAUGGAUGAAUGCUUGAUCUUCUGUAUUGUGCUGCUUCAUUUAAGAUUUUGUGAAGAAGAAAGAGGGAGGAUACAAAGCAAACAUGCUGUAGAUUACAUACAGAAACCCAUAAGUAAGUGCUAAGUGCCACCCCGAACAAUGACUUUUAGUUAAUUGGACAACAUUUACAGUGUACAAGCAUGUGAGGAGCCAGACUUGAUGGCAAGCUGGUAUUGUAUCUAAUAAAAAAAUGCUGUAAUAAUUUGAAGUUAAGUGCAAUAACUGAUAUGUAAUUGAGGGUUUUAUAUACUCGCUGAUAUGCUAACAUAUAAAGUUUGAAGUUGCUAAUUGGCAGCAUGUGACUU
Epinephelus fuscoguttatus (brown-marbled grouper) is the source of this 4781-nucleotide RNA transcript. RefSeq lists it as uncharacterized. The transcript is spliced from 2 exons. NCBI's taxonomy places the organism in Eukaryota, Metazoa, Chordata, Actinopteri, Perciformes, Serranidae. The record is from RefSeq and is a predicted model, not a curated record.